GCCACGUACGGCGACUGGCGCACGCGGAACCGACCGCGGGGGAGCCGUACGGGAAGACCGCACGAGGUGCCGUCCGCCUGGGCACCCCGG
RNAcentral lists this non-coding RNA (90 nucleotides) under Streptomyces sp. RNAcentral's name for it is "ZTP sequence". It matches the Rfam family "ZMP/ZTP riboswitch aptamer (pfl RNA motif)". From Rfam's summary of the family: Previously known as pfl RNA. ZMP is also known as AICAR. The record is from RNAcentral. Lineage: Bacteria; Bacillati; Actinomycetota; Actinomycetes; Kitasatosporales; Streptomycetaceae. RNAcentral also lists the same sequence under 1 other name.